UACGGGGGGGGCAAGCGUUGUUCGGAAUUACUGGGCGUAAAGGGCUCGUAGGCGGCCAACUAAGUCAGACGUGAAAUCCCUCGGCUUAACCGGGGAACUGCAUCUGAUACUGGAUGGCUUGAGCACAGUAGAGGCAGGUGGAAUUCCCGGUGUAGCGGUGGAAUGCGUAGAGAUCGGGAAGAACAUCAGUGGCGAAGGCGGCCUGCUGGGCUGUUGCUGACGCUGAGGCGCGACAGCGUGGGGAGCAAACAGG
Molecule: ribosomal RNA, 253 nt
Filed under: uncultured bacterium
Lineage: Bacteria
Description: partial 16S ribosomal RNA
Rfam family: Bacterial small subunit ribosomal RNA
Source: RNAcentral